Molecule: ribosomal RNA, 774 nt
Filed under: uncultured Micromonosporaceae bacterium
Lineage: Bacteria; Bacillati; Actinomycetota; Actinomycetes; Micromonosporales; Micromonosporaceae
Description: bacterial SSU rRNA
Rfam family: Bacterial small subunit ribosomal RNA
Source: RNAcentral
AGAGUUUGAUCAUGGCUCAGGAUGAACGCUGGCGGCGUGCUUAACACAUGCAAGUCGAGCGGUGAUCCAUGCUUCGGUGUGGGGAUCAGCGGCGAACGGGUGAGGAACACGUGGGUAACCUGCCCCUGACUUCGGGAUAACACUGGGAAACUGGUGCUAAUACCGGAUAGGAGCUCCUGCUGCAUGGUGGGGGCUGGAAAGAAGUUCGGUCAGGGAUGGGCCCGCGGCCUAUCAGCUUGUUGGUGGGGUGAUGGCCUACCAAGGCGACGACGGGUAGCCGGCCUGAGAGGGUGGACGGCCACACUGGGACUGAGACACGGCCCAGACUCCUACGGGAGGCAGCAGUGGGGAAUCUUGCGCAAUGGGCGAAAGCCUGACGCAGCGACGCCGCGUGCGGGAGGAAGCCUUUCGGGGUGUAAACCGCUGUCAGGGGGGAAGAAGCGCAAGUGACGGUACCUGCAGAAGAAGCGCCGGCUAACUACGUGCCAGCAGCCGCGGUAAUACGUAGGGCGCAAGCGUUGUCCGGAAUUAUUGGGCGUAAAGAGCUCGUAGGCGGUUUGUCGCGUCCGCUGUGAAAGCCCGGGGCUCAACCCCGGGUCGGCAGUGGGUACGGGCAGACUAGAGUGCAGUAGGGGAGACUGGAAUUCCUGGUGUAGCGGUGAAAUGCGCAGAUAUCAGGAGGAACACCGAUGGCGAAGGCAGGUCUCUGGGCUGUUACUGACGCUGAGGAGCGAAAGCAUGGGGAGCGAACAGGAUUAGAUACCCCGGUAGUCC